UCUUGAUUAGUAUAGUGGUCAGUAUGCCAGCUUGUCAUUCGAUGUGACUAGUAACCGCUGGAGACCCGGGUUCAAUUCCCGGAUCGAGAG
Molecule: non-coding RNA, 90 nt
Organism: Truncatella angustata
Lineage: Eukaryota; Fungi; Ascomycota; Sordariomycetes; Amphisphaeriales; Sporocadaceae
Source: the annotation of a RefSeq genome assembly